Molecule: ribosomal RNA, 1385 nt
Filed under: Triticum aestivum (bread wheat)
Lineage: Eukaryota; Viridiplantae; Streptophyta; Magnoliopsida; Poales; Poaceae
Description: partial small subunit ribosomal RNA
Source: RNAcentral
GAAAGAGAAGCGACGAUGAAGAGUGUAGGUCGCGUAGAGUGGCAGGGCAUGGUAACCGCAGCGGCGUGUAGCGGCGUCCACGCUAUGGCACGGGGCUUGGUGCGCUGGGGCUGGGAGGGGGUGGGAACAGGGACGAGGUGUCUAGAUUGAGGAGAAAGAAAGAAGAAAGAGACCACCGCUCGAGGAACACGCCCGCCGUACCAACAGUGGCUGCUCGAGGAACCCCACCUGAGGUACAUCGUACUUGCCCCCCAGCUGCGGCAGCUCGAGGAACCCGGUCGUGGUACCAGCAGGUGGUGAAAGGAAGAGCAGGAGGAGGCCGGUGCCAGUACCGCAUGAGCGUCGAGGUGCCGUUGUGCCGGCACGAUGUUGGUCACUAGCCGGUACGAUGUUGGCUGCUGACCUACACAAUGUUCCCUCCGCUGCCACUAAACACCGCCGCUGCAGCCACGACGCUAAAACGACCUCGGCCGUGGUCCUUUCUAUGGUGGUCGCUGCCUAAACGAUGUUGGUCACCCCCAGUAGGGUGCCGCCACCACUGGUGCCGGGCUGCCACCACGACGUUGGUCAAACAAAAAACGAUGUUGGUUGGGGUAAAAAACGAUGAUGACAGAAGCCAAAAACGACUUUUGUUGGUAAAAAACCAUGGCGUCAGAACUGAAAAAGACCUUGGCCACACACUAAAACGAAGGUGGUAUAGUACAAAAACGAUCUUGGCCGUAGAGGAUAAAAAAACCAAGGUGGGGGACACGCUCAAAAAAAAAAGACCUUGACCACGGGGUAAAGAAAAAAACGAAGGUGGCAUACAAACAAAACGACCUUAGCCGUUACUAAAAACGAUGGUGGUGAAAAAGUCAACAUUCGAUGCGCCAACAUGGUAAAACUAAGACGUUGGCUGCUGCUCCUACCGGCCGACGGUAGCCUCGACGCCGGCGGCGUGGUCUCGACGCCGGUAGAGGUACCCCUCGACGUUGGCACCCUCGUCCGACGACGUACGUACUUCGGCCGCUGCUGUUGGCUGUCGCUGCUGCCACUAGUCGCCACUCCCGCUGCUGCCGAUGGCCGCUGCUCGCGUUGUUGCUGGUCUCUUGUAGCCACAUUGGAGGGAAGAGGGAUGACAUUAGAGAUGAAUUUGUACCACGAGUUGAGGUAUAUAAUAAAGACUUACUAUAAACCGAUAGGAUACUACAAACUCAUCUAGGUAAAACAGUAUACCCAACUAUCUACUAGUACUAACCAUACUCAACAUAUAAAAAAACACGACAGGAUGUCACGGGAGACACAACGCGUUUGUCUCCCUAGGGGCGACAUCCCACAACGUUAUGCAAGUACCAAACGAAUACCACCCACCGCACUCACUGUAUUCGUGUAUAAGCUCAAACUUC